RNAcentral lists this transfer RNA (73 nucleotides) under Camelus bactrianus (Bactrian camel). It matches the Rfam family "tRNA". Rfam says of the family: Transfer RNA (tRNA) molecules are approximately 80 nucleotides in length. Their secondary structure includes four short double-helical elements and three loops (D, anti-codon, and T loops). RNAcentral also lists the same sequence under 2 other names. Lineage: Eukaryota; Metazoa; Chordata; Mammalia; Artiodactyla; Camelidae. The record is from Rfam by way of RNAcentral.
GAGGAUAUAGCUCAAGUGGUAGAGUGCAUGCUUAGCAUACAUGAGGUUCUGGGUUCAAUCCCCAGUACUUCCU